Corchorus olitorius is the source of this 162-nucleotide non-coding RNA. NCBI's taxonomy places the organism in Eukaryota, Viridiplantae, Streptophyta, Magnoliopsida, Malvales, Malvaceae. The record is from Rfam.
UUACUUACCUGGACGGGGUCAAUGGGCGAUCAUAAAGGCCCAUGGCCUAGACUUGUGGCCUCCAUUGCACUUGGGAGGUGCACCUGUCUAAGGUCUCCUCUUAGUAGGAGAGCCUACGUCAUAAUUUGUGGCAGUGGGGGCCUGCGUUCGCGCGGCCCCUGC